GGGUAACACAUGAAAUAAAAUUCCCUGUUUGCUCUGUUGCCCUGCUUUUCCUUCUGUCUGUCCUUCCUUCCUUCCGUCCAUCUUUAAGAUUAACUUUGAUUCUUUCUCCUUCCAUCUCUGGUUCCUGGGGACUGAUUUAAAGCAGCAUUGCACAAACAGGAGGGAAGCUGAUCUAAAGCUGCAGGUAGUUGUGGCCAUCGUUCCUGGAGAGCUGGCAGCAUACAUGGCCACAAAAGAGCGUGUGGUAGGAAUCAGGAAGAGAAAUGGUAUCAGCUAUUAGAAUGGAGCAUGUGGAUGAUUUGUUGACAUUAUGCAAACAGCAUGGAAUAGCAGUCAUUCAUCUGUAGUACUGUUUUAAGCAUGAUGUUGGCCAACUUUGGAUACCUUGGUACAAGAUGCUGUUGAGUCAAGAAGUAAAAGCAGAGAAGAGCAAUUAAAAUAAACUCACCAGGGACUCUGACUUAGUACGACUCUUGCAUUUGUGACAGGCAAGAAGCAACAGAAAGGAGAUCUGAUGAUGGUCAUCUAUGUGUGGCAGCUGUUUGCUCUGCUGAUGAAGAUUCAGACUCCCAUCUUUUUAGGAGAUAGCACAGGCCAGCCAGUUCAGGAAAGAAUUCAAUGCUUUGCAGAUGGAUGGAUGUUAAAAUGUGUGCAAAUGAAAUGUACAGUGCAGUCUCCGAGAAGCCGAUCAGUUUGUGUAUUCUGUAUAUACUGCUUCAGUGCAUGCUGAAGGCUGAAUCUAUAGGUUGAAUAGAAUUGAUUUUCAUAGAAGCAAUGUUUUACUGCUGUUUUUCUUGUGGUGAUUCUUCUAGCUUUGUUUAGAGAUCUUCAUAGAAAAUAUUUGAUUAAUAAAGAGCCGUGCAAUAUCA
This 869-nucleotide long non-coding RNA is filed under the name Numida meleagris (helmeted guineafowl). RNAcentral describes it as "lncRNA (ENSNMEG00000019177.1)". The record is from RNAcentral. Lineage: Eukaryota; Metazoa; Chordata; Aves; Galliformes; Numididae.